RNAcentral lists this ribosomal RNA (255 nucleotides) under uncultured bacterium. RNAcentral's name for it is "partial 16S ribosomal RNA". It matches the Rfam family "Bacterial small subunit ribosomal RNA", at positions 524 to 776 of the family's 1533-position model. The record is from RNAcentral.
UACGUAGGGCGCAAGCGUUAUCCGGAAUUAUUGGGCGUAAAGAGCUCGUAGGCGGUUUGUCGCGUCUGCCGUGAAAGUCCGGGGCUCAACUCCGGAUCUGCGGUUGGGUACGGGCAGACUAGAGUGAUGUAGGGGAGACUGGAAUUCCUGGUGUAGCGGUGGAAAUGCGCAGAUAUCAGGAGGAACACCGGCUGGCGAAGGCGGGUCUCUGGGCAGUAACUGACGCUGAGGAGCGAAAGCGUGGGAGCGAACAGG